Lutra lutra (Eurasian river otter) is the source of this 4101-nucleotide RNA transcript. It is a transcript of the gene named DEAD-box helicase 46, with no coding region annotated. The record is from RefSeq and is a predicted model, not a curated record. The transcript is spliced from 24 exons. Lineage: Eukaryota; Metazoa; Chordata; Mammalia; Carnivora; Mustelidae.
GGCGCCAGCACGUCCGGUUUUCGUUGGCCGCUCUUCGUCGGCCGCGGCCGCUGUAGCUGCUGCUGCUACCCCGUAGUGCUGCUCUUCGUCCGGCUAGCUGAGGGCGGCGUGACCUCCUCCUUUGUGCGGUUUUUCUGCGCGUUGUCCCGAAGGGCGCUGCUUUUCCCGCGACCGGCAGCAUGGGCCGGGAGUCUCGCCACUAUCGGAAGCGAUCAGCAUCAAGGGGGCGCUCUGGAAGUCGUUCUAGAAGUCGCUCACCCUCAGACAAAAGAAGUAAACGUGGAGAUGAUAGACGUUCUAGAAGCAGAGAUAGAGAUAGGAGGAGAGAGAGGUCUCGAAGCAGAGAUAAAAGAAGAUCUCGGUCAAGAGACCGGAAGCGCCUGAGGCGUUCCAGAAGUAGAGAGAGAGAGAGAAGUCGAGAGCGAAGAAGAUCUCGAAGUCGAGACAGGAGACGCUCGAGGAGUAGAAGCCGAGGCCGGCGAUCCAGAUCCUCCAGUCCUGGCAAUAAAAGCAAGAAAGCUGAGAAUAGGUCUAGGUCCAAAGAGAAAACAGAUAGUGGGGAAAGUUCUAAAGAGAAGAAAAAAGACAAAGAUGACAAGGAAGAUGAAAAAGAAAAAGAUGCUGGCAACUUUGAUCAGAAUAAGCUGGAAGAAGAAAUGAGAAAGCGAAAAGAGAGAGUAGAAAAAUGGCGAGAAGAGCAACGUAAAAAGGCCAUGGAAAACAUAGGGGAACUGAAAAAAGAAAUUGAAGAGAUGAAACAAGGGAAAAAAUGGAGCUUAGAAGAUGAUGAUGAUGAUGAAGAUGAUCCUGCAGAGGCUGAAAAGGAAGGAAAUGAAAUGGAGGGUGAGGAGUUAGAUCCAUUAGAUGCUUACAUGGAAGAAGUAAAAGAGGAAGUAAAGAAGUUUAAUAUGAGAAGUGUGAAAGGUGGUGGAGGAAAUGAAAAGAAGUCUGGGCCAACAGUCACAAAAGUUGUCACUGUAGUGACAACCAAAAAAGCAGUGGUAGAUUCUGAUAAGAAGAAAGGUGAGCUGAUGGAGAAUGACCAGGAUGCCAUGGAGUAUUCUUCAGAAGAGGAAGAAGUUGAUCUUCAGACAGCUCUUACAGGAUAUCAGACAAAACAGAGAAAGCUUCUAGAACCAGUGGACCAUGGAAAAAUUGAAUAUGAACCAUUCAGAAAAAACUUUUAUGUUGAAGUUCCAGAAUUAGCAAAAAUGUCUCAAGAGGAGGUCAAUGUAUUUCGGUUGGAAAUGGAGGGCAUUACUGUCAAGGGAAAAGGUUGCCCCAAACCAAUUAAAUCUUGGGUCCAGUGUGGAAUUUCCAUGAAGAUCUUAAAUUCUCUCAAAAAGCAUGGCUAUGAAAAGCCCACGCCAAUCCAAACUCAGGCGAUUCCUGCUAUAAUGUCUGGACGAGAUUUGAUUGGUAUUGCCAAGACAGGAAGUGGAAAGACCAUUGCUUUUCUCUUACCCAUGUUUAGACACAUCAUGGAUCAGAGGUCAUUAGAAGAAGGAGAGGGGCCAAUAGCUGUCAUCAUGACUCCAACUCGAGAACUGGCUUUACAAAUUACUAAAGAAUGUAAGAAGUUUUCGAAGACCCUGGGACUUAGAGUGGUGUGUGUUUAUGGAGGAACAGGAAUCAGUGAGCAGAUUGCUGAGCUGAAAAGAGGUGCUGAAAUUAUUGUUUGCACACCUGGUCGAAUGAUUGACAUGUUAGCAGCUAACAGUGGUCGGGUCACAAAUCUUCGGAGAGUGACAUACGUGGUUUUAGAUGAAGCAGACAGAAUGUUUGACAUGGGUUUUGAACCACAGGUAAUGCGCAUUGUGGAUAAUGUCCGUCCUGAUCGACAGACAGUUAUGUUUUCAGCUACUUUUCCCAGAGCUAUGGAGGCUUUGGCUCGCCGAAUCUUGAGUAAACCCAUUGAAGUGCAAGUUGGAGGCAGAAGUGUGGUUUGCUCAGAUGUGGAACAACAAGUGAUUGUGAUUGAAGAAGAAAAGAAAUUCUUGAAGUUACUUGAGCUUCUUGGCCAUUAUCAAGAAUCAGGAUCUGUCAUUAUAUUUGUGGAUAAGCAGGAACAUGCUGAUGGUCUUCUGAAAGAUUUAAUGAGAGCAUCUUAUCCUUGCAUGUCUCUUCAUGGAGGCAUUGAUCAAUAUGACAGAGAUAGCAUCAUAAAUGACUUUAAGAAUGGGACCUGCAAACUUCUCGUAGCUACAUCUGUUGCUGCUCGGGGUCUAGACGUGAAACAUCUGAUUCUUGUAGUAAAUUACAGCUGCCCCAACCAUUAUGAGGAUUAUGUGCACAGAGCAGGACGGACUGGAAGAGCAGGCAAUAAAGGUUAUGCAUAUACUUUUAUCACAGAAGAUCAAGCUCGCUAUGCCGGUGACAUAAUUAAAGCUCUUGAAUUGUCGGGAACUGCAGUGCCUCCUGAUCUGGAGAAACUUUGGAGUGAUUUCAAAGAUCAGCAGAAAGCUGAAGGGAAAAUAAUUAAAAAGAGUAGUGGGUUCUCUGGUAAGGGAUUCAAGUUUGAUGAGACAGAACAAGCUUUGGCUAAUGAGAGGAAAAAGUUGCAAAAAGCGGCUCUCGGUCUGCAAGAUUCAGAUGAUGAGGACGCUGCAGUUGACAUUGAUGAACAAAUUGAAAGUAUGUUUAAUUCAAAGAAGAGAGUUAAAGAUAUGGCUGCUCCUGGAACAUCCAGUGUUCCUGCUCCAACUGCAGGAAAUGCUGAGAAAUUAGAAAUUGCUAAGAGAUUGGCUCUUAGAAUCAAUGCUCAGAAGAAUUUGGGCAUUGAGUCUCAGGUAGAUGUGAUGCAACAGGCCACCAAUGCAAUUCUCAGAGGUGGCACCAUCCUGGCUCCCACUGUGUCUGCCAAAACCAUUGCAGAGCAACUUGCUGAAAAGAUUAAUGCCAAGCUCAAUUAUGUGCCUUUGGAGAAACAAGAAGAGGAGAGACAGGAUGGUGGACAGAAUGAAUCUUUUAAGAGAUAUGAGGAAGAAUUAGAGAUCAAUGACUUCCCACAGACUGCUAGGUGGAAGGUUACCUCUAAGGAAGCUCUGCAGAGAAUCAGUGAAUAUUCUGAAGCUGCAAUUACAAUCAGAGGAACAUAUUUCCCACCUGGAAAAGAACCUAAGGAAGGAGAGCGGAAAAUUUACUUGGCAAUUGAAAGUGCCAAUGAACUGGCUGUGCAGAAAGCAAAGGCAGAAAUCACCAGGCUUAUAAAAGAAGAACUGAUUCGGCUGCAAAAUUCAUACCAACCAACAAAUAAAGGAAGAUACAAAGUCUUAUAAAACAUCCGGAAAAAACUUUUUACUUGUGCUGGUCUGUGACACAUGUGGCAGUUGUCUCCAGUUUACAAUGUAUUGUAAAUUAAGAUUUUUAAAAUUCUGUCUUGCUGAUUUUUUUUUAAAUAUAUGAAACCAGUAUUUGCUAAAGAAAUCUUCUUUCAGUAAGUACCACCAGAAUUAUCAAACUGUAUUUAAAGCAGGCCUGUUUUCUGUCUAUUAUGUCCUUUAAUGUAAACUUUAUCAAUAUUUUAAAUAUCUGGAUAAUAUUCCAGAAGUUUAAAAAAAUGGAAAUAUUUGGACUUUCUAUUGACAGUAAUAAAGUAUACAAGUCACUAAGGGGCUCUUCACCUUAUCCUCUUGAAAUGAAAUUGUGAUCAUCUUCUCAAAAAUAGAAUAAUGUGGCAGUCUCACAUUGGUGACAGUUGGUGCUCCCUUCAGCCUCCUGGAUCACUUUGAGAUUCAGAGUUUUAUAUCAUUUUAGCAUUACUACCUUUUUGUUUGUAUAUCUAGUUGUAAUAAAACACUGAUAGUAUUUUUUUGUCCUAAAGUGAAACACAUUUCUCUGUUAAAACAUUUUUUAGUGUCACACUGACUCUUUGAUUUUUAAAAUCAGAAUGAUGUACAGACUAAAUUGUUUUUUAAUGCAGUAUCAAUAUCUGCUCAUGUUUUCUAAAUUCCUUAUAAAAUAAAGUUAAUUCAACCUACAGUUUCCAAAAAUGAUCUCCGCUUAAAUGUUUUAUGCUGUUGCUCUAAUUUUGUUUACAUUGGUAGGUAUGGGAAAGGAGUAUUGUACUCUGUAUCUUUAUUAAAAAUUCUGGCAAUCCUA